CUUUGCCGAUUGCGAAACGUGAUUGGUAAACGGUUUGCCAGAAUAUACCCUGACCGAGCAUUCCGUCUCAUUGAGCAUGCAGUCUCUGUGUGAGGGCUACCCAGACAGGCAAUGCACUCACUACGUUAUUUGCUCUUUUAAGAACUCAUCUCUUAGAAAUACACUCUUUUAGGCUUGUCGGAUGGCAGCAGGGGAUCAGCUGGAACCUCUGUUCAAUUCGGUAGGAACGGCAAAUCAGCCGAGCAGAGAGGUUGAUGGUUCAGCUUGAUCUACUGUGAGGCGUUUCUACGCCCCACUUGGUAUUCAAUGGGCCUAAAAUCCCUGGCCAUUGGCCCUAAGGAAGCCCAGGUGAGGCACAAUCAAGCCCCGAAAGUGACAGUGGAAACGCGACUGGCCCUGACAUGCACUAGCACGCGUGCUUUUGGCCCGACAGUGGAAACGUGGCUAUUGGUAGGGUUUAUGGCGAUGGGAACAGAAGAGCACACACCUCAGCCGAAGGAACAACUGGUAGGUACAUCAGGUAAAUAUCCUUAGGAACAAUCAAGGAACACCAGGAAUCAACACCGAGAAACAUGGUGAGUGGGUAAUACAAUAUUUCCCAGUUUAUAGCCAGACCAUGAGUGAAACUAAGGUGUGUGCUUAAAUAGGGAGCUGAUGUGGAGAUUAAUAGAAAACAGGAGCAGGUGAUGGCGCGUGUGCAGGAGGGAACCAAGAAGGAUUCUGGGAAAUGCAGUGCUGGAGACUGGGCUGGUGACUGGAGAUCGUGACACCAAUAAAUUACAUAUACAAUAUGUCCCGGUGGAACACCCAGAUCCAAACUGUUUCCAGACCAGAUGGUCACUGUAGCCACCAAGAUCCAGGCCAUAUCUACACCAGAUGGUUGAUCAGCACCUAGAGAUGACCUCUACAGCCCUGAAUUUCAGUGGAGACCAUGUCAGCUUGAUGAGACCCAGACAGAUCCCCUGCAAAGACCUCGUCAACAGGACGGCCAUCAGGACAAGACCACAGGAACCAGUCCUCUGCACAAUCUGACCUGUGUUGAAGCCUGAAAUUAAACCAUACCAUGCUGGUUUUGUCUGGCCAGAGGAGAACUCGGCCCCCCACUAAGCUUGGUUUCUCCUAACUUUUUAUUUUUUCCAUUUCUGUCAUGGAUUGGUUCCUUGCCACUGUCGCCUUUGGCUUGCUUAGUUGGGGAGGCUUAAUUUAUGGCAAUAUUGUUGGCUUGACUGCACAGACACUAUUGGAAGAGAGUGUAAUAGCGCCCCCUACCGGAUAGCAAUGAAAACAUGGAUUCUCAGAGCACAAGUAUAACUGAAA
Long non-coding RNA from Cyprinus carpio (common carp), 1317 nucleotides. RefSeq lists it as uncharacterized. NCBI's taxonomy places the organism in Eukaryota, Metazoa, Chordata, Actinopteri, Cypriniformes, Cyprinidae. The record is from RefSeq and is a predicted model, not a curated record. The transcript is spliced from 4 exons.